UACUAGAGGCAAAGAAAUAUAUUACAAGGA
Molecule: non-coding RNA, 30 nt
Filed under: Mus musculus (house mouse)
Lineage: Eukaryota; Metazoa; Chordata; Mammalia; Rodentia; Muridae
Source: RNAcentral